AGGCCUAACACAUGCAAGUCGAGCGGUAACAGGACUAGCUUGCUAGUUGCUGACGAGCGGCGGACGGGUGCGUAACACGUAGGAAUCUGCCCGGUAGUGGGGGAUAGCCCGGAGAAAUCCGGAUUAAUACCGCAUACGCCUUACGAGGGAAAGGAGGGGCCUCUUCGGAGCCUUUCGCUAUCGGAUGAGCCUGCGUCGGAUUAGCUAGUUGGUGGGGUAAAGGCCUACCAAGGCGACGAUCCGUAGCUGGUCUGAGAGGAUGAUCAGCCACACUGGGACUGAGACACGGCCCAGACUCCUACGGGAGGCAGCAGUGGGGAAUAUUGCACAAUGGGGGAAACCCUGAUGCAGCCAUGCCGCGUGUGUGAAGAAGGCUCUAGGGUUGUAAAGCACUUUCAGCGAGGAGGAAAGGUUGCUGGUUAAUACCCAGCGGCUGUGACGUUACUCGCAGAAGAAGCACCG
RNAcentral lists this ribosomal RNA (462 nucleotides) under uncultured Gammaproteobacteria bacterium. RNAcentral's name for it is "bacterial SSU rRNA". It matches the Rfam family "Bacterial small subunit ribosomal RNA", at positions 44 to 495 of the family's 1533-position model. Lineage: Bacteria; Pseudomonadati; Pseudomonadota; Gammaproteobacteria. The record is from RNAcentral.